GACGAACGCUGGCGGCGUGCUUAACACAUGCAAGUCGAACGCUGAAGCUUGGUGCUUGAACUGGGUGGAUGAGUGGCGAACGGGUGAGUAAUACGUGAGUAACCUGCCCUUGACUCUGGGAUAAGCCUGGGAAACUGGGUCUAAUACUGGAUACGACAUGUCACCGCAUGGUGGUGUGUGGAAAGGGUUUUACUGGUUUUGGAUGGGCUCACGGCCUAUCAGCUUGUUGGUGGGGUAAUGGCUCACCAAGGCGACGACGGGUAGCCGGCCUGAGAGGGUGACCGGCCACACUGGGACUGAGACACGGCCCAGACUCCUACGGGAGGCAGCAGUGGGGAAUAUUGCACAAUGGGCGGAAGCCUGAUGCAGCGACGCCGCGUGAGGGAUGACGGCCUUCGGGUUGUAAACCUCUUUCAGCACGGAAGAAGCGAAAGUGACGGUACGUGCAGAAGAAGCGCCGGCUAACUACGUG
RNAcentral lists this ribosomal RNA (472 nucleotides) under uncultured bacterium. Its description in RNAcentral is "partial 16S ribosomal RNA". It matches the Rfam family "Bacterial small subunit ribosomal RNA", at positions 28 to 507 of the family's 1533-position model. The record is from RNAcentral.